This 825-nucleotide long non-coding RNA is filed under the name Lactuca sativa (garden lettuce). RNAcentral's name for it is "long non-coding RNA (LSAT_LNC002773)". The record is from RNAcentral. Lineage: Eukaryota; Viridiplantae; Streptophyta; Magnoliopsida; Asterales; Asteraceae.
CAAGGCGUAACUGUUUUGUGCAUUCGCUUCUUAUAAACGAGUGUAAUUUUCUCAAGUAUAACUAUCAUUAUCAAAAUAUAGUUUGUACAUUAAUGUUUAAGUAAAAAAAAUCACUGAAUAUAUGUAAAGGGUAAAUUAAUGUAGUACUGUAGUGUUGUAUUAUAGGAACUACUGCCGUACUAACUACCUUAAACCGGAUUUAUAUUAAGGUAUCAUGUGAUUAAUUGUACCAUACUAUCGACUGAGUAACAACGACAAAUGUAGGUCGUAAAAAGGUAUGACGUUUGGCACCCGCAGACCUGCAGGUCCGGCUGUAGCUAGCAGCAAGGUGUAGGAUAGUCAAUCCAGUAUAGAUCUAUAUGCAAACUCACGAUCUCCCUCCAAGAGACUCUGGUUACAACUCGGGCCAUGACAUUUAAGGCAUGCUCCGAUACAGUGGAUCACAUUUAUGUAAAUGCCUGUAUGUAUAUGUAAUGUAUUGUUCCUGUUCUAGUAUCGUUGUAUACGUUCUCUUUCUAGUAUAGUUGUAUAUGUUCUCCUUCUAGUAUAGUUGUAUAUGUUCUCCUUCUAGUAUAGUUGUAUAUGUUUUCAUAGUAAUAUCAUGUAUAUGUUCUAGUAAUAAGUAUUGACUUAUGAAUGAACUGACUCAGUGAUCUAGCAAUAGUAAUAGUAUGACUCUGUGCUACCCCAAUGGUAGCUUACUAAUGAUGUAACUAGUACGCAUGAAUAUGGAAGUAUUUUUAUGUCUAUAUAUGUACACGUGAUAUAUCUAAUUAAUAUUGAAACGACCUUCGGACGGCUACCCGAUAUCCCACCAGACCACAU